Long non-coding RNA from Siniperca chuatsi (mandarin fish), 289 nucleotides. RefSeq lists it as uncharacterized. The transcript has 3 exons. The record is from RefSeq and is a predicted model, not a curated record. Lineage: Eukaryota; Metazoa; Chordata; Actinopteri; Centrarchiformes; Sinipercidae.
AAUCAAAAUGGAAAAGAUCUCAGAAGGGAAGGUGAACUCAAUAAUUUUCUGCAUAUCUGUUAUAUAAGACAGAAGAAGAACAGGAAUGACAAGAAAAAGGAGUAGAAGCAGGGACCCUUGGGAUACUAUUUCCACGAGGCCAGUGAUGGAGAUAAAGAGAGACAGACAGGUUGUGCUUUUACAAAAGAACACCACCCAGGACUGAAGUGUUUCUGAAUCAACCCACAGUGUCCCUGAUGAGUCUGAUUUGCUCUGCUGUAAUGGAACAGUGAAUUAGCCGUGACAAUGG